RNAcentral lists this ribosomal RNA (484 nucleotides) under uncultured bacterium. Its description in RNAcentral is "partial 16S ribosomal RNA". It matches the Rfam family "Bacterial small subunit ribosomal RNA", at positions 28 to 507 of the family's 1533-position model. The record is from RNAcentral.
AUUGAACGCUGGCGGCAUGCUUUACACAUGCAAGUCGAACGGCAGCGCGGGCUUCGGCCUGGCGGCGAGUGGCGAACGGGUGAGUAAUGCAUCGGAACGUGCCCAGCAGUGGGGGAUAGCCCGGCGAAAGCCGGAUUAAUACUGCAUACGACCUGAGGGUGAAAGCGGGGGACCGAAAGGCCUCGUGCUAUUGGAGCGGCCGAUGUCGGAUUAGCUAGUUGGUGGGGUAAAGGCUUACCAAGGCGACGAUCCGUAGCUGGUCUGAGAGGACGACCAGCCACACUGGGACUGGGACACGGCCCAGACUCCUACGGGAGGCAGCAGUGGGGAAUUUUGGACAAUGGGGGCAACCCUGAUCCAGCCAUGCCGCGUGCGGGAAGAAGGCCUUCGGGUUGUAAACCGCUUUUGUUCGGGAAGAAAUCCUCUGGGCUAAUACCCCGGGGGGAUGACGGUACCGGAAGAAUAAGCACCGGCUAACUACGUG